AGCCAUAUCUUCUCACUCCUCAGCAACUUUAUUAGGGCAGGUCAGUUGGUACAGGAGUCGGCGGAGGCAGAGUUGGGCUUAGCAGAAAGCCUGGAAGAUAAUGCUGGAAUGCAGAGGCACCGAGGAUGUGAUGCAGCAAGAAGGCCACUGUCUGCAAACCAGGAAGAGGGCUCUCACCAAGAACAGAAUCAGCCAGCACCUUGACCUUGGACUUCCAGCCUCCAGAACUGCUGCAGAUUCCCAUCUGCUGGAGCAGGGGCCAUGUGAUCUCCCAAGAUUUUACCGGGACUCUGGCUUUCAUUGUCCCUGAAUGACAGAGACUUGUGGCUGCCCCUGUGCCACAGUGCCUGCACCAUCUCUGGUGCCUCCUUCCUCCUCUGCUUCCCAGUGGUUUCUUGCCAUGUGUCACCAGCGCCUUUCUUCCUGAUCCUGGCUACCCUGAAAGUUGGAAGCAUAAGACUUGGCCCCAAGUUUCUAAAGCACCUUGUGCUUUAGUCUCAGGCUCUGCCUUCUGCAGGAAAGAACCUCCCCCAAGCUCCCUCCGAGUCCGUCUCUCAUGUUAUCUAGUGUAUGCCUAAUGUAUCAGAGGCAUCUUGGCACCAUUCAUAAUGAUCUGUCCGCUGAAGAGUCUAGCUAUGACAGCCGAACUCCUAAGCACAUGCCUUGAAUUUAUGAAAAACAUAUUGAAGUGAAACUAAGACAAAUAGUUGCUGAGUUUCGGGUAAAUAUUUCUUUAGCAUAGGAUAUAUUAAUUUCCAAAAGAUCUCUCUAUGGUUUUAAAAAAGAUUAUUAAAAAUUAUUUAAAAAAUUAGGAAGUUCAGGAAGUCGCUGUAUUCUUUCUUAACUUCACCUUUUAGUUCUAAAUGGUAUGAACUCGCUGCUGUGCAAAAUGGGGAAAUUAGCACCCUAACACUUCUUUCUCAGCCUGCCUUGAAAUUUUUAUUAUUUUUACUUUUUCAAGGUUUACAACAUUACGUGCUAAAACCAUAUUACCCAUAUUUGUUGAGUCUGGGGUCUAU
RNAcentral lists this long non-coding RNA (1019 nucleotides) under Equus caballus (horse). RNAcentral describes it as "lncRNA (ENSECAG00000056705.1)". The record is from RNAcentral. Lineage: Eukaryota; Metazoa; Chordata; Mammalia; Perissodactyla; Equidae.